Molecule: long non-coding RNA, 1733 nt
Filed under: Hordeum vulgare
Lineage: Eukaryota; Viridiplantae; Streptophyta; Magnoliopsida; Poales; Poaceae
Description: long non-coding RNA (HVUL_LNC007597)
Source: RNAcentral
UGUACAUAAGACGGUAAGACUGUUUGUAGGAGGAACUGGCUAGAGCCAUGGAUUGCUUAAGGUGGAGAAACAAGUGAACAUCCAUGGAUACCAGCUAAGGGAAUGUAAUGGUCGGGGCUAUCUCCACAACCUAAUUGGAGGCCCCGUCGCUUGCCCGGAGCUUCACACCACAAUGAUUGAGCUCCGAGACACCACCAAGCUUCUAGGAUGCCAAAGCAUCCACGAAGAACAAUAUCUAGGGUACUAAGUACCAAAGGUAGUAAGCUUCUCAACUUCUCACUUCCACGUAUCACCGUGGAGAACUCAAACCGAUGCAACUAAUGCAAUGGCAAGAACACAUGAAGUGGUCAAGUCCCUCACACUCAAAUCCCUCCACAACAACAAAAGCUAUGGAGAAAUAUGAGAGGAAGAACAAGGAGCUCACAAAGAACUCCAAGAUCUAGAUCCAAGGGGUUCCCCUCACAUAGAGGAGAAAGUGAUUGGUGGAGAUGUGGAUCUAGAUCUCCUCUCUCUUUUCCCUCAAGAACAAGCAAGAAUCAUUGGAGGGAUUGAGAGUUAGCAAGCUCUAAGAAUGUCAACAAUGGAGGUAGAACAAGAGCUCAACGGAUAGAUGAGGCCAAGGGGGAAGAAGACCCCCUUUAUAUAGUGGGGGAAGGAAUCAGACCGUUACCCCCACUAUCUGCCCGAGCUCCAGCGGUACUACCGCUGGCUGCAGCGGUACUACCGCUGGCACUCCAGCGGUACUACCGCUGAUUUCAGCGGUACUACUGCCAGCUAGCGGUACUACCGCCGGCUGCAGCGGUACUACCACUGGGCCCAUGGUAGUGCAAAGGCACUACCACCGCCAAGAAAGUCUUCGCAAAAAGGUCCGUCCACGAACAACCGCUAGGCACGCGGUACUAAGCUCCUGGAGCGGUACUACCGCUGACCAGUGGCCCUACUACCGCCAGCCAGCGGUACUACAGCUAGGUCCAGCGGUACUACCGCCAUCUCUAGCGGUACUACCGCUAGUUCCAGCGGUACUACCGCUCACCACUAAAACAGCCAUAACUUUCGCAUACGAGGUCCGAAUCGAGAAAACCCAAGCUUGUUGGAUUCAGGACGACAAGAGCUAUCCAAACUGCCUUUCUCAUGGCAAACAUCCUUUAGGAAGUGUACAUAGAUUUAACACUGAACCCCUUUUUUCCCUAGCAUCCACACCUUCAUCAGUCAAUGUGGUGGAGUGGCAAACAUCCAGUAGGCCUUGCCAUUGCACAGCCAAUUCCCCCCGCAAGCAUCUAUGAGAUUGGAGACAUGUCCCUUGAGAGUGAACAACUUAUAAACAAUUGACAUUUUUGCCAAAUGUAAGGUUAUAUAGACUUUUAAAUCUGGAAAUAAUAGAUGGCAUCCAUGUGAUUGGCAAUUAAAACCAUGUUUGCUUAGUUUUGAAUCCGUCUGUUCUCGGUGGUGCGAGCUCAUGCUGCAUUUUGAGAUUGUGUACAUAAGACGGUAAGACUGUUUGUAGGAGGAACUGUCUAGAGCCAUGGAUAGCUUAAGGUGGAGAAACAAGUGAACAUCCAUGGAUACCAGCUAAGGGAAUGUAAUGGAAGAUAAUCCAUGGAUACCAGCUAAGGGAAUGUAAUGGAAGAUAAAUUCUACACAGUUUGCCAUGGAUUUUGAGUCAUGUCCUAAGCCACGUAUACUCUAUGUGCCCCCUGGCUUUCUGUUGGGCCUUGUAUAUUUGGUUCCUGGGA